This 559-nucleotide ribosomal RNA is filed under the name Hanseniaspora uvarum. Its description in RNAcentral is "partial large subunit ribosomal RNA". It matches the Rfam family "Eukaryotic large subunit ribosomal RNA", at positions 74 to 648 of the family's 3401-position model. Lineage: Eukaryota; Fungi; Ascomycota; Saccharomycetes; Saccharomycodales; Saccharomycodaceae. The record is from RNAcentral.
AUUUACUUAGUACGGCGAGUGAAGCGGUAAAAGCUCAAAUUUGAAAUCUGGUACUUUCAGUGCCCGAGUUGUAAUUUGUAGAAUUUGUCUUUGAUUAGGUCCUUGUCUAUGUUCCUUGGAACAGGACGUCAUAGAGGGUGAGAAUCCCGUUUGGCGAGGAUACCUUUUCUCUGUAAGACUUUUUCGAAGAGUCGAGUUGUUUGGGAAUGCAGCUCAAAGUGGGUGGUAAAUUCCAUCUAAAGCUAAAUAUUGGCGAGAGACCGAUAGCGAACAAGUACAGUGAUGGAAAGAUGAAAAGAACUUUGAAAAGAGAGUGAAAAAGUACGUGAAAUUGUUGAAAGGGAAGGGCAUUUGAUCAGACAUGGUGUUUUUUGCAUGCACUCGCCUCUCGUGGGCUUGGGCCUCUCAAAAAUUUCACUGGGCCAACAUCAAUUCUGGCAGCAGGAUAAAUCAUUAAGAAUGUAGCUACUUCGGUAGUGUUAUAGCUUUUUGGAAUACUGUUAGCCGGGAUUGAGGACUGCGCUUCGGCAAGGAUGUUGGCAUAAUGGUUAAAUGCCGC